AGUGAACGCUGGCGGUAGGCCUAACACAUGCAAGUCGAACGGCAGCACAGUAAGAGCUUGCUCUUACGGGUGGCGAGUGGCGGACGGGUGAGGAAUACAUCGGAAUCUACUUUUUCGUGGGGGAUAACGUAGGGAAACUUACGCUAAUACCGCAUACGACCUACGGGUGAAAGCAGGGGAUCUUCGCACCUUGCGCGAUUGAAUGAGCCGAUGUCGGAUUAGCUAGUUGGCGGGGUAAAGGCCCACCAAGGCGACGAUCCGUAGCUGGUCUGAGAGGAUGAUCGGCCACACUGGAACUGAGACACGGUCCAGACUCCUACGGGAGGCAGCAGUGGGGAAUAUUGGGCAAUGGGCGCAAGCUUGAUCCAGCCAUACCGCGUGGGUGAAGAAGGCCUUCGGGUUGUAAAGCCCUGUUGUUGGGGAAGAAAAGCAGCAGGAUAAUACCCCGCUGUUCUGACGGUACCUAAUGAGUAAGCACCGGCUAACUUCGUG
Molecule: ribosomal RNA, 492 nt
Filed under: uncultured bacterium
Lineage: Bacteria
Description: partial 16S ribosomal RNA
Rfam family: Bacterial small subunit ribosomal RNA
Source: RNAcentral